CUUAGCUUUGGGGCAUCCUAGACCAGACCGUAGCUCCCACGGUCGACGAGGUGUCUUCAACCUCAGGUAUUUUUUUCCGUGUCCCUUGUUGCGCGCUGCGCGCGAGUGGCACCCUUCCAAGGAAGAAUCCGGCAUGGGUCGCCGCAGAAAUGACUGUGCACAGGUAGCCCGAGCCCGAGGAAGACGCUCUGGCUUUCUGGACAUCUGCUUUUCUGUUAGAGGAACCUUGAGGACUGAUCCAGUCUUGCAGGUCUAAAACCAUGGCUCAUGUUUGCUGUUUCAGACAUCGACAUUCAGGGAUGUGGCCAUACACUUCUCCCAGCAGGAGUGGGAAUGUCUCAACCCUGUUCAGAAGAACUUGUACCGGGAUGUGAUGAUGGAGAACUAUGAUAACUUGGUCUCACUGGGACAUUCCAUUUCUAAGCCAGAUGUGAUUUCAUUCUUGGAGCAAGGAAAAGAGCCAUGGAUGGUUGUGGGAGAAGAAACAAGAAGAUGGUGUACAGAUUUGAAUUCAAGAUAUGAAAUAAUGAGCUAUGAAAAUGUACAUAU
Long non-coding RNA from Dama dama (fallow deer), 549 nucleotides. RefSeq lists it as uncharacterized. The record is from RefSeq and is a predicted model, not a curated record. The transcript is spliced from 5 exons. NCBI's taxonomy places the organism in Eukaryota, Metazoa, Chordata, Mammalia, Artiodactyla, Cervidae.